UAUUAUAUUAUAUGUAAAUGUAUGUAAGUCUGAGUAGUAGUAGAUAGGUUCUUGAAACUUAAAGAAUUUGGCGGUGUUUUAGUCCUUUCAGAGGAAUCUGUUCUGUAAUUGAUAGUACACGAUUUUAUUUUACUUUCUUUAAUUAGUUUGUAUACCGCCGUCAUAARAUUAUCUUUUUGGAGAGGGGAAAAUUUCUUUAUUUUUAAUUUGGGAGUAUGUCAGGUCAAGGUGCAGCUUAUGGGGAAGAAGUGAUGGAUUACAAUAAUGUUAGUUAUGAUGGAUAGUAUAUUAAUUUUUACUUGAAGGUGGAUUUGAUUGUAAAUUUGAAUUGGAUGUCAUUUUGAUUUGGGCUCUAAAAUGUGCACACAUCGCCCGUCGCUCUCGUUAUAAUAUGAG
This 396-nucleotide ribosomal RNA is filed under the name Phaeophilacris sp. CAR. RNAcentral's name for it is "partial 12S ribosomal RNA". The record is from RNAcentral. Lineage: Eukaryota; Metazoa; Arthropoda; Insecta; Orthoptera; Phalangopsidae.